CCUGGAGCCUCUAAUAUACUUCAUGGAUUAAUGGAUAUGAACAUUAUCAACCUUAAGGCGAGACACUAUGUGGGUCCUACGCUGCAAAGAACUCAACCCCUAAAUUAAGAAGGGGAAGACUAAAUGGAACAGCAGUACAGGACAGUGCAUCUCAGACACCCCUGAG
This 166-nucleotide long non-coding RNA is filed under the name Apteryx rowi (Okarito brown kiwi). RNAcentral's name for it is "lncRNA (ENSARWG00000014574.1)". The record is from RNAcentral. Lineage: Eukaryota; Metazoa; Chordata; Aves; Apterygiformes; Apterygidae.